UGGCGGACGGGUGAGUAACGCGUGGGUAACCCGCCUCAUACAGGGGGAUAACAGUUAGAAAUGACUGCUAAUACCGCAUAAGACCACAGCACCGCAUGGUGCAGGGGUAAAAACUCCGGUGGUAUGAGAUGGACCCGCGUCUGAUUAGGUAGUUGGUGGGGUAACGGCCUACCAAGCCGACGAUCAGUAGCCGACCUGAGAGGGUGACCGGCCACAUUGGGACUGAGACACGGCCCAA
Molecule: ribosomal RNA, 238 nt
Filed under: uncultured bacterium
Lineage: Bacteria
Description: partial 16S ribosomal RNA
Rfam family: Bacterial small subunit ribosomal RNA
Source: RNAcentral